This 209-nucleotide long non-coding RNA is filed under the name Elaeis guineensis (African oil palm). RNAcentral describes it as "long non-coding RNA (EGUI_LNC004294)". Lineage: Eukaryota; Viridiplantae; Streptophyta; Magnoliopsida; Arecales; Arecaceae. The record is from RNAcentral.
UCGGAGGGUCUUCAUCGGAGAAUUUUUCGAUGAGGACUUUUUGCAGGUAUUCAGGUGGAGCUCCAGCAAUAAUUUUUUCUUCGGUCAUCUCCACUUCGGCAGUCGAUCUCAAAUGGAGAGAUCAGGAGCAACAAUAAUACAUACAUACAUAUAGAUACUAUAUACAUGCAGGUAUGUAUGCUGCAAAAAAAGAAAAUAAGGAGGAGGAA